This 1438-nucleotide long non-coding RNA is filed under the name Scleropages formosus (Asian bonytongue). Its description in RNAcentral is "lncRNA (ENSSFOG00015032757.1)". The record is from RNAcentral. Lineage: Eukaryota; Metazoa; Chordata; Actinopteri; Osteoglossiformes; Osteoglossidae.
GGGCUGCCAAUUUCCACCGUGCAGAGAAAUCUGGGCAAAUUAGACACGGCGGCCUCUUGCGACGCGGCAACCUGUCUGCACCUUGUCGGAAUGGCACUGCCCAGCUACCACUGUGCCAGGCCAGGGAUCAAGAGUGCCUGUAGGGUGAGGCCUGGAAUGAGGUUUUCCUUGGCCAUCUGCCUUUGGUAAGUAUGAGUGAGCAUGUCAUCACCCCUUCUGAAACACACCUGGUCACAGGGAACAAGACUGGCCCAGGGGCCCACAGUUUAUGCGGACAAGCUGUCAGCAGACACUUUCCGCUGUCUGACAGCAUCGGAAGCACGGAGUGAGGAUUCACCAGUACGGCUCGACACCAGUUUAGACACAAAGAAUGUUGUGCACAUAGCUGAGGCUAUUGGUGACAUAGAGGCAGGGAAUGGAGUGCUGGUGUUGUGGUGAAUCCGGAGAUCUCACCAGGAACAACACAAUGGUGCAGGAUGGAGCCAGAGUGCCCUUACUGUGAAUAUGUACAUCUGCUGGCAGUGCCAUGAUUUGCGCUGCAGCUCUCAACCCUAGCAGGUCUCUUUUUAGCAUGUUGGUGUGAACUUCAUCAGACCAUCAUAACAAAGUUCCUAGCAGUAUCGAAUUUGCUGUGGACGUUGUAGACUGUGCAACCUGCUUCCAAAAGCACUGCCAUCGCAAAACCAACCAGCCAACGUCAACAACCGCUUGUCCUGAGCAGAGUUGCAGCGAGCCGGAGCCCAUCGCAGAAGCACAGGGCGCAAGGCUGAGGAGGGAGGGGACACAGCCUGGGCGGGAUGCCAGUCCACUGCAAGACACCCCAAGCAGGACUUGAGCCCCAGCCCCACUGCAUAGUGGACACCGGCCAAACCUGCCGUGCCGCCACACCCCCCAUCGCAAAAUGCCUCAGCAAAAAAGUGAGUGCCAAAACUCUGUUUUACUUGUUCUUCUAACAGCGAUUUAAUUGCCCCAUAUUAAGCACAUGGAGAAUGGAAAGAAACUUUUUUCCUGCACCAAGAAAAUCUUUCAAAUGUAGUAAUUUGUUUUUCUUGUCAUUUAUCGUUGCCAUUUUUUUGACUUGUCUUUUUGACUGGUAAUUUUGUCGUUUUGCAUUCUUAUUAAUGGGUAUACAACUCAUAUGAACAUGCAUUAUGUGGCCCUAAUGUUUUUGUUUGUUCAACCACACCACAUGUUCUAUGUCCAUCGUUUUAUCUGUAGUGGCCUAGUUCGUGACACCAGCUUAAUCCAUAAUGCAGUUUCAAUGCGCUUAAUAUAUCUGUUUCUAUACUUUCCCAUAUACAAAAUAUUGUAAUUGGAUAUGGGGGGUGCGGUGGCGCAGUGGGUUGGACCACAGUCCUGCUCUCCAGGGGGUCUGGGGUUCGAGUCCCGCUUGGGGUGCCUUGCGACGGACUGGCGUCCCGUCCUGGGUGUGUCCCCU